RNAcentral lists this ribosomal RNA (145 nucleotides) under uncultured eukaryote. RNAcentral's name for it is "partial small subunit ribosomal RNA". It matches the Rfam family "Eukaryotic small subunit ribosomal RNA", at positions 1296 to 1461 of the family's 1831-position model. The record is from RNAcentral.
AGUUGGUGGAGUGAUUUGUCUGGUUAAUUCCGUUAACGAACGAGACCUCAGCCUGCUAAAUAGUUAUGUCGAGGUCUACUCGGCAGCCAACUUCUUAGAGGGACUAUUGGCGAUUAGCCAAUGGAAGUUUGAGGCAAUAACAGGU